RNAcentral lists this ribosomal RNA (119 nucleotides) under Pteropus alecto (black flying fox). Lineage: Eukaryota; Metazoa; Chordata; Mammalia; Chiroptera; Pteropodidae. The record is from RNAcentral.
GCCUGUGGCCAUGUCACCCUGAACAAGCCUGAUCCUGUCUGAUCUCGGAAGCUAAGCAGGUUCGAGCCUGGUUAGUACUUGGAUGGGAGACCACCUAGGAAUACUAGGUGCCAUAGGCA